This 496-nucleotide ribosomal RNA is filed under the name uncultured bacterium. RNAcentral describes it as "partial 16S ribosomal RNA". It matches the Rfam family "Bacterial small subunit ribosomal RNA", at positions 29 to 507 of the family's 1533-position model. The record is from RNAcentral.
AUGAACGCUGGCGGCGUGCCUAAUCCAUGCAAGUCGCGCGAACGGACGAGAAGCUUGCUUCUCUGAUGUUAGCGGCGGACGGGUGAGUAACACGUGGAUAACCUACCUAUAAGACUGGGAUAACUUCGGGAAACCGGAGCUAAUACCGGAUGAUAUUUUGAACCGCAUGGUUCAAAAGUGAAAGACGGUCUUGCUGUCACUUAUAGAUGGAUCCGCGCUGCAUUAGCUAGUUGGUAAGGUAACGGCUUACCAAGGCAACGAUGCAUAGCCGACCUGAGAGGGUGAUCGGCCACACUGGAACUGAGACACGGUCCAGACUCCUACGGGAGGCAGCAGUAGGGAAUCUUCCGCAAUGGGCGAAAGCCUGACGGAGCAACGCCGCGUGAGUGAUGAAGGUCUUCGGAUCGUAAAACUCUGUUAUUAGGGAAGAACAUAUGUGUAAGUAACUGUGCACAUCUUGACGGUACCUAAUCAGAAAGCCACGGCUAACUACGUG